AUUGAACGCUGGCGGCAGGCUUAAUACAUGCAAGUCGAGCGGUAACAGAGAGAAGCUUGCUUCUCUGCUGACGAGCGGAGGACAGGUGAGUAAUGCCUAGGAAUCUGCCUAGUAGUGGGGGAUAACUUGCCGAAAGGUAAGCUAAUACCGCAUACGUCCUACGGGAGAAAGGAGGGGACCUUCGGGCCUUUCGCUAUUAGAUGAGCCUAGGUCGGAUUAGUUAGUUGGUGAGGUAAUGGCUCACCAAGACCGCGAUCCGUAACUGGUCUGAGAGGAUGAUCAGUCACACUGGAACUGAGACACGGGCCAGACUCCUACGGGAGGCAGCAGUGGGGAAUAUUGGACAAUGGGGGGAACCCUGAUCCAGCCAUGCCGCGUGUGUGAAGAAGGUCUUAGGAUUGUAAAGCACUUUAAGUUGGGAGGAAGAGCAGUUAACUAAUAUUUGACUGUUUUGACGUUACCGACAGAAUAAGCACCGGCUAACUUCGUGCCAGCCGCCGCAGUAA
RNAcentral lists this ribosomal RNA (506 nucleotides) under uncultured bacterium. Its description in RNAcentral is "partial 16S ribosomal RNA". It matches the Rfam family "Bacterial small subunit ribosomal RNA", at positions 30 to 523 of the family's 1533-position model. The record is from RNAcentral.